CACAGAAUCAAUAAGAGAUAUAUGCUUUGGAUUAGAGCCAAAGGUGAAACUUGAUGAUAAACCCUUGGAUGUUUCACGUCUGGGCAAACCUACUCCCAAAGUCCAAGGAAGCUGAAAGACCAAAGAAAGAGGUUGACAAAUCCAGUCUCUCAGGAACAUUUAAUAGGGACUUACAAACAGAAACCAUGACUGUGUCUCAGGAAGCGGCAAGUCCCAGAAACUUUUCUUCUCCAAGACCAACUUUCUUCAAGACCAUUUAACCCUGUCUUGAGAAAAAGGCUUUGCGUUUCCAGCAGUUUCACUCCAUCAGUGUUUUGGACAUUGAAGUUAGCAAAUGGGAAAUUGAGACAGCAAAUUUAGGAAAGAAAAUGGCCAGCAAAGGAUAACCAGACACUUGAAAUGUCCUCUAAUCGACAGAGAGAAAAUGAAACUAGUAUAAAUAAGGG
Molecule: long non-coding RNA, 446 nt
Organism: Homo sapiens (human)
Lineage: Eukaryota; Metazoa; Chordata; Mammalia; Primates; Hominidae
Exons: 5
Source: RefSeq, a predicted model, not a curated record